CUCUUUCAGAAAGCGCUACUGCGGAGUGAACCGGUCCUUAUAUCUUAGUUUCGUGACUUUGGGGGCGGCAGGCCUGUGAGUUGUUUUCCGCCCUGGACGCUGUUUUGCAAAGAUCUCUGCGCGCCCACCGCCACCCUCCCGGGCGUGCGGGCCGGGAAGCAGCCAGCGGUGGGAAACUCCGACGCCCUCCUCGACACUUUUCUCCCCCCAACUCCCCAAGACUCACUUCUAGGGAAGUCCUUUUUCCCAUCAAGCCCUGGGAAAGACUGGCCAGGCUGAGAGAGGGACCCGUCCUCCUCUGUGCCAAAGGCGGGAGCAAAUCCUGGUGCUGUCGCCUUUGGAUGAAACUUUUCGCGCAGAAACUCCUGGAGAACAGCCCCGGCCGCCAGGUACUCGCCCGCCCGGACCGCAAAGCCCACAGAGCUUCAAUUCGCAGGAAGGGGAGUGGGGAGCCCUGAGCUGGGGUGUUCCUGGAAGAGGUCGGGGAGCGGGGGGAGAGGCAUUCCAGGCUGGAGGCCUGGAAACGUUUGGAAGCUUUGCUAACCUUGGAGACCAUGUCAGGAAAGAAGCGUACCCAGGCCGUCUGCUGUGUGCCCACCCCGAUCCCCAUCAGUGCCCCACGCACUCGAGCUCUUCUUCGGCGUCUGCAGCCUCUUCAUCCGCGCGGAGAGGCGGAGGUCUCCCGGAAACAGUGUCCGACUGUGGCACCCCAGAGCGUCCAAUGCGAGCUCAGGCCUUUCCCGCAAGUCUGGAGUUUUCUUAUCCAGUUGAGGCCGCCUUCGCUGUACUCACUCUCUGCCUCCCACCCCAUCUUCUGCCACCCGACCUCCAUCUUUGAUGGUUAGCGCCUUCAGCCCUCAACAGCUUCGCACAACCAACCCCUAGAAGCCGUGGAGUCAGACCGGCCAGGGUGGGACCUAGGUUUUAACUCGGGUUCUGGCUACACACGCUGCGCCUCCAUACAGUUUGUCCCAGGUUUGGCAGCAGGCCGGCUACCUUCAGGAAUUCUUUGCUUUGGCUUCUGUCUGUUCCUGUCUGUUGGGCAAGUUUCUAGCUACCCCACUGAGAGAACCAUAGAACAAGGACCCUGGCAUGGCAUACAGACAAGGAAUGUUUGCUGAAUUAAUGGAGCUGGUGCCUUGCAGCUUCCCUUUUGUUCCUUGAAGUUGCCCUUGCUCUCCUCCACAUCAGCUCCCUCUCCUCCUCAGCUACUUAUUCCCCACCCUGGCUUCUUCUAGUCGCAGUCCCCAAGUACUUGCUGAAUCCUGUAUGGACAGCCUAAGCCUCCAUUUCUGACAAUUCCUGUGGCCCCACUCCAUUUGUUUUUUAGACUUCUCCCUCCUUUUUGUCCCCAUCCCCCAAGUUAUAAAACUAUAAUGCAAUUCUUUGGAUUUUUCUUU
Molecule: long non-coding RNA, 1400 nt
Filed under: Homo sapiens (human)
Lineage: Eukaryota; Metazoa; Chordata; Mammalia; Primates; Hominidae
Description: long non-coding RNA NONHSAT182033.1
Source: RNAcentral